RNAcentral lists this ribosomal RNA (342 nucleotides) under Bacillus anthracis (anthrax bacterium). RNAcentral describes it as "bacterial SSU rRNA". It matches the Rfam family "Bacterial small subunit ribosomal RNA", at positions 7 to 336 of the family's 1533-position model. Lineage: Bacteria; Bacillati; Bacillota; Bacilli; Caryophanales; Bacillaceae. The record is from RNAcentral.
GAGAGUUUGAUCCUGGCUCAGGAUGAACGCUGGCGGCGUGCCUAAUACAUGCAAGUCGAGCGAAUGGAUUAAGAGCUUGCUCUUAUGAAGUUAGCGGCGGACGGGUGAGUAACACGUGGGUAACCUGCCCAUAAGACUGGGAUAACUCCGGGAAACCGGGGCUAAUACCGGAUAACAUUUUGAACCGCAUGGUUCGAAAUUGAAAGGCGGCUUCGGCUGUCACUUAUUGGAUGGACCCGCGUCGCAUUAGCUAGUUGGUGAGGUAACGGCUACCAAGGCAACGAUGCGUAGCCGAACCUGAGAGGGUGAUCGGCCACACUGGGACUGAGACACGGCCCAGAC